UAUCACUAAGGGGAGGAAAAGAAACUAACAAGGAUUCCCCCAGUAACGGCGAGUGAAGCGGGAAGAGCCCAGCACCGAAUCCCCCGGCCCUGCGGCCGGCGGGAACUGUGGUGUUCGAGUCGUGAGUUGUCGACCUCGCCCGUCGCCCAAGUCCUCUCGAUUGGGGCCUUUCCCAGAGUGGGUGUCAGGCCUUUACCGGCGCCACGGGCGGGUCGGCUCCGAUCGACUCAAGAGUCGGGUUGUUUGGGAAUGCAGCCCAAAGCGGGUGGUAAACUCC
RNAcentral lists this ribosomal RNA (277 nucleotides) under Shinkailepas tollmanni. RNAcentral describes it as "partial 28S ribosomal RNA gene". It matches the Rfam family "Eukaryotic large subunit ribosomal RNA", at positions 41 to 307 of the family's 3401-position model. The record is from RNAcentral. Lineage: Eukaryota; Metazoa; Mollusca; Gastropoda; Cycloneritida; Phenacolepadidae.